Molecule: ribosomal RNA, 440 nt
Filed under: uncultured bacterium
Lineage: Bacteria
Description: bacterial SSU rRNA
Rfam family: Bacterial small subunit ribosomal RNA
Source: RNAcentral
CUACGGGAGGCAGCAGUGGGGAAUAUUGGACAAUGGGCGCAAGCCUGAUCCAGCCAUGCCGCGUGAGUGACGAAGGCCUUAGGGUUGUAAAGCUCUUUCGGCGGGGAAGAUAAUGACGGUACCCGCAGAAGAAGCCCCGGCUAACUUCGUGCCAGCAGCCGCGGUAAUACGAAGGGGGCUAGCGUUGUUCGGAAUCACUGGGCGUAAAGCGCACGUAGGCGGAUCUUUAAAUCAGGGGUGAAAUCCCGGGGCUCAACCUCGGAACUGCCCUUGAUACUACUGGUCUCGAGUCCGGAAGAGGUGAGUGGAAUUCCUAGUGUAGAGGUGAAAUUCGUAGAUAUUAGGAAGAACACCAGUGGCGAAGGCGGCUCACUGGUCCGGUACUGACGCUGAGGUGCGAAAGCGUGGGGAGCAAACAGGAUUAGAAACCCUGGUAGUCC